RNAcentral lists this ribosomal RNA (539 nucleotides) under Hanseniaspora osmophila. RNAcentral describes it as "partial large subunit ribosomal RNA". It matches the Rfam family "Eukaryotic large subunit ribosomal RNA", at positions 100 to 655 of the family's 3401-position model. The record is from RNAcentral. Lineage: Eukaryota; Fungi; Ascomycota; Saccharomycetes; Saccharomycodales; Saccharomycodaceae.
GGCAAAAGCUCAAAUUUGAAAUCUGGCACUUUCAGUGUCCGAGUUGUAAUUUGUAGAAGUAGUUUUGGGGCUGGUCCUUGUUUAUGUUCCUUGGAACAGGACGUCAUAGAGGGUGAGAAUCCCGUGUGGCGAGGAUCCCAGUCCUUUGUAAAACGCUUUCGAAGAGUCGAGUUGUUUGGGAAUGCAGCUCUAAGUGGGUGGUAAAUUCCAUCUAAAGCUAAAUAUUGGCGAGAGACCGAUAGCGAACAAGUACAGUGAUGGAAAGAUGAAAAGAACUUUGAAAAGAGAGUGAAAAAGUACGUGAAAUUGUUGAAAGGGAAGGGCAUUUGAUCAGACAUGGUGUUUGGACGCCCUGCGCUCCUUGUGGGUGCAGGACACGCUUUUCACUGGGCCAACAUCAGUUUUGGCAGCAGGAUAAAUCGCCAGGAACGUAGCUGCCCUCGGGUAGUGUUACAGCCUGGUGGAAUACUGCUAGCCGGGACUGAGGACUGCGUCUUUUGACAAGGAUGUUGGCAUAAUGGUUAAAUGCCGCCCGUCUU